This 265-nucleotide unclassified non-coding RNA is filed under the name Hevea brasiliensis (rubber tree). Lineage: Eukaryota; Viridiplantae; Streptophyta; Magnoliopsida; Malpighiales; Euphorbiaceae. The record is from RNAcentral.
AGUAUAUAAACAUCAUCAUCCCUAACUUUGUACCUCGUCUUCGCUUGGGUUUCUUUGAACUUUACAUUCGAGUCAGCAUUUACAGGAGCUGGGAACUUUGAAACGCUAUAUUCAUCUUGAGUUAUUAUAGUGCUCGAAAAAUCAAACUCAUUAAGUAUCAUGUUUUUCUCAUCUUGGAGUCUGGCAUGCUUAUUCUUGGAUCCUUUGUUAAUGUUUUUCAACAGUGCUGGAUUCACACUUCGAUCUCUCUGUGGAACAUAGCCUU